UUCUAAUCUUCUCCGGAUUGUUUCAUCCUACCACUCCCAAUUAAUCUUUCCUAUUUUCGUCUGCGUUUAGCAAAUGCGUUAAGAUUAACUAGGCUUUAAAUGACGCAACUCUCCCUGCGUCAUGGAGUUCAAGGUCUUUUAAUCACCUUCGAUUUAACCUCAUUUUAAAUGAUCGCCUUCAAAUUAUUUAAAAGCAUUGCCCUUCUACUGGUAUUAAUUCAGGGCUCUGGAGUCCCUUCUCUCAAUUUUCUUUUAAAUACACUUUUUAUUUCUUCAAGAAACUUCAUCUCAACCUCCGUCAUUCAAAGAGCAAAAACUUAUCUGCGGGUUCCUCAAGCUGCGCCUGCCACCUCAGCAGAAACCCCUGCGCUGGCUGCCUCAAUGCCUGCCGCAAAGCCCGGGCGAGGACUAUUUAUUGUCGGAGGACAGCUCGCAUCACCGGAAUUCGAUCACCUUCCGCCGCCUUUGUGGGGGAGGCAAAAAAUAGUUCUUCGGUUAAAAAUAGGUUUUAGUUUUACAAGACUUUUCUAGAUUUUUUCUUAACAGCUUAUGGAACUUGAGUGCAAACUGCACAUUCAGAAAUAUUUAAAUUACUAGCAUGUGGAAAGAUUUGAGCUGAAAACUUUAGACAAAAGAAACGUGGAAAUCACAUUUUAAACGGGUCAUCAAACACCUCACAAAAUCCCCGGAACUUUUUAAAUACUUCUUAAAGCGCUUUUUUGUGUUCUCUUGAGGGACAGUAGGAAUAGUUUACUACCCUUUGAAGGAAGGUUAAGGUGUGAUAGCUCAGGGCUUUACUUUCCAUUACGCAACUGAGCCCCAGCCUUGGAGGGAAGGUUGACAGGUGGCAAAAUGGCGGACUUUCUCCUCCAACUGCCUGCAGUCCUGCGACUUGCUCCAGCCAGCCACACGUUUUGCUUGCCCUUUUAUUCGAGAAAUCCGAGCAGCACGGGCUAUCUUCUUGGGAAGUCUUAAAAACGUGAAAACCCACUUUUGGAAAACCCCUCAAUCCCACACCACAGAGCUGCUCCCCGCCUGAGCCCCGGGAUCCGUUGGCUGCCAGUGGCCCACUCUGAUCUGCGGCCCCGAGGUGUCGCCAGCCCCCCACGGCCCGCACGGAAAUUUUUCUACCGUUUUUCAGCUUCCAGGUUCUCCUGAAAGUGCUCACAAGGCAAAUCGCCAUAGAAAGCAAGUUCAAGUGGCCUUUUAAAGUUGCUCAACUAAGCGAAUGGCUUUGUCUCCGAAGACACAGGGACCUUGGGCAGCCAGUCAGGGACACACCCUGGAGUGUUUACACUGCUCUAGCUCUGCUUUUCCAGGGGUCUUUGUUUUGCAGAUUGUGUUAUGCCUGCUUAGGUCCGAGCUUCAGACUUCCUGAACCGGACUAGGAAAAAAAAUAAACCUUUCCUCCAAGGUAUCUAAAUACCA
RNAcentral lists this long non-coding RNA (1428 nucleotides) under Piliocolobus tephrosceles (Ugandan red Colobus). Its description in RNAcentral is "lncRNA (ENSPTEG00000024451.1)". Lineage: Eukaryota; Metazoa; Chordata; Mammalia; Primates; Cercopithecidae. The record is from RNAcentral.